GACGAACGCUGGCGGCGUGCUUAACACAUGCAAGUCGAACGGAAAGGCCCUGCUUGCAGGGUACUCGAGUGGCGAACGGGUGAGUAACACGUGGGUGAUCUGCCCUGCACUUCGGGAUAAGCCUGGGAAACUGGGUCUAAUACCGGAUAGGAGCCAUUUUUAGUGUGAUGGUUGGAAAGUUUUUUCGGUGUAGGAUGAGCUCGCGGCCUAUCAGCUUGUUGGUGGGGUAAUGGCCUACCAAGGCGGCGACGGGUAGCCGGCCUGAGAGGGUGGACGGCCACAUUGGGACUGAGGUACGGCCCAGGCUCCUACGGGAGGCAGCAGGGGGGAAUAUUGCACAAUGGGCGCAAGCCUGAUGCAGCGACGCCGCGUGGGGGAUGACGGCCUUCGGGUUGUAAACUCCUUUCGCUAGGGACGAAGCUUUUUGUGACGGUACCUAGAUAAGAAGCACCGGCUAACUACGUG
RNAcentral lists this ribosomal RNA (465 nucleotides) under uncultured bacterium. RNAcentral's name for it is "partial 16S ribosomal RNA". It matches the Rfam family "Bacterial small subunit ribosomal RNA", at positions 28 to 507 of the family's 1533-position model. The record is from RNAcentral.